This 492-nucleotide ribosomal RNA is filed under the name uncultured bacterium. RNAcentral describes it as "partial 16S ribosomal RNA". It matches the Rfam family "Bacterial small subunit ribosomal RNA", at positions 30 to 507 of the family's 1533-position model. The record is from RNAcentral.
AUUGAACGCUGGCGGCAUGCUUUACACAUGCAAGUCGAACGGUAACAGGCCUUCGGGUGCUGAUGAGUGGCGAACGGGUGAGUAAUGCAUCGGAACGUGCCCAGCGGUGGGGGAUAACGCAGCGAAAGCUGUGCUAAUACCGCAUGUGAUCUGAGGAUGAAAGCGGGGGACCAGGCAGCAAUGUUUGGCCUCGCGCCUUUGGAGCGGCCGAUGUCAGAUUAGGUAGUUGGUGGGGUAAAGGCCUACCAAGCCGACGAUCUGUAGCUGGUCUGAGAGGACGACCAGCCACACUGGGACUGAGACACGGCCCAGACUCCUACGGGAGGCAGCAGUGGGGAAUGUUGGACAAUGGGCGCAAGCCUGAUCCAGCAAUGCCGCGUGCGGGAAGAAGGCCUUCGGGUUGUAAACCGCUUUUGUACGGAACGAAAAGGCUCUGGCUAAUACCUGGGGCUGAUGACGGUACCGUAAGAAUAAGCACCGGCUAACUACGUG